UUCUGUAUAAUUUAAUGAUUUUAACAAUAUUGUUUAUAUUGAGAAACAUUUACAACAAGUUCAUGAAACUUUUUAACAAAUAAAAUCGGACUAUCUUUAAUUUUGUAAUACUUCCAAGUUGUGUAUCUGUAAAACUUAUAGCUGAUUUUACUUUCUAAAGAUAAACUUGACAAUUAUAUAUCAUAAACAUAUUUUUAUUAAUUAAAAUCUUUCUUCAAAUGAUAAACAUGUAAAUGAGAGUGAAGUGUUCAUGCUAUUAUCAAUAGUUACAAUAUUAAUGUGAUGUUACUUAAAGAGUUGUGCAAGUCUCCUGACUAAAUAUGUUCAAAACAUUAAUGUAUGAUUAUUUUUUUUACAUAAAAUAUACUAUGUAAUUGACAUUUCCCUUUUUACAGUAUUUUGUUUUUUUAUUUGUGUUAAAAUUAAUGUCUGCCUAAGAACGAUUAAUGCCAAGGUAUCUGAUGUGUCUAAUUGCUUUAAUUUGCUCGGAGUUUUCCUAUGAAGGUUAAAAUAGAAAAAAAAAAAUUUUCUUACUCGUAAACAAUUAUAACAUAUUCAUUCCACUGUGGGAAAUCAUUUACAAACAUACAUUUCGACAUACUGAUUUUAGAAAAGUUUAAAUAAUCAUAAUCUGAAUGAAUCGUCGAAAAAGACUUACAUAAAUUGUAUAUGAAUAAAAAAAAAACUAUAAAUUAUAAAGUAUAUUAAUUAUAUUUGUGACAAUAUACAAAUAACAUAAAACCUGGGAAUGGAAUAUAUAUAACUUAUAACACCCUUGGUGGAGGAGGGUUUACUAACUUUACAACCGCAGCACUGUUUAUAAGUUCAAAGAAUUUUUAAUGUGCCUGAGUGACUUAAUUAAAAGACAUGUUGAGUCUAAUGUUGCAUAUAUUAUUGUGUGUGUUAUAAACAUAAAAUCGUUUUAUAUCAUUAAAAAAUUCCAAUACAUAUAUAAAACUGAAUACAGUAAAGUAACCAGUUGGAAUGUACAGAGUAUUGGAUCCAAAGGAUAUGUGGAUUUUCAAUUAUCAACAUGACUAGCAGGAAGCUAUAACAACAGAAAAUGCCCUUGUUACCAAAUCAAACAGAGUUCAUUACACAUGGAAAUAUCAAGCGUCUGCUAUAGCUAAAUAUGAAAUCUAAGUUUUAAUAUCAAACAGAAGAUUCAUUUAUCUACUACUUCUAAAUAUUGCACACAUUUAGCAUAAUAAAUAAAUGGGAUUUUCAACACAUAUAAAAUUUAAGCAGCUAAAACUAUUCCCCAUAAACCUUUUGGUACAAGAUGCCCUAAAUUAGCUUAACACAUGUGGAUAUAACUUGUUGAAGAGAUAAAUUUGUCCUUAUCUGAACCAGCUCCAUCUUUAAUUUUCUCUUUUCAAAUCAUUGAACUUUUAAUUUAAAUGAAAUUGGAUCUCCAUUUAAGUUAUCCUUAAAAAGAGUACUAUCUGAUCCAUUAUCAAUGAAAAGAGAUCGAAAUUGUGGAGCGUGUUCUUGACAAAGUUAAUCUGUCUAGGUAAAUAGGUUAGUGUUGUGAUAACACACGAGCGAGUAUUAACUCAGAAUAAAUAGAUCACAGAGAACACAUGAAAACAGAAAACUGUUUGAAGUUGAGAUUUAACAUUUCAAAUAUAUAUAAGUCAUAAUAGUCAUGCCAUUGGUAGAAGUUGGACACACUUUUUAAUGACGAAACUGUUGUCAUUUGUGCAGUCAAAUGGGGUCUACAACAUCAUGAUAAAAAUGUUAUUAGUAUACGAUUUUUUAUAAGAAACAAAUUCAUAGAUUUUUUUUUUUUGCUUUAAUUAAGGAUGUACUUAAGGUAGGU
RNAcentral lists this long non-coding RNA (1822 nucleotides) under Mytilus galloprovincialis (Mediterranean mussel). The record is from RNAcentral. Lineage: Eukaryota; Metazoa; Mollusca; Bivalvia; Mytilida; Mytilidae.